UACGUAGGGUGCAAGCGUUGUUCGGAAUCACUGGGCGUAAAGGGCGCGUAGGUGGGCGGCCAAGUCGUUUGUGAAAUCCCCGGGCUUAACCUGGGACGUGCAAGCGAAACUGGUCGUCUUGAGUUCUUGAGAGGAUGGCGGAAUUCCAGGUGUAGAAGUGAAAUUCGUAGAUAUCUGGAAGAACGCCGGAGGCGAAGGCGGCUAUCUGGCAAGACACUGACACUGAAGCGCGAAGGCGUGGGGAGCAAGCAGG
This 253-nucleotide ribosomal RNA is filed under the name uncultured bacterium. RNAcentral describes it as "partial 16S ribosomal RNA". It matches the Rfam family "Bacterial small subunit ribosomal RNA", at positions 524 to 776 of the family's 1533-position model. The record is from RNAcentral.